UGGUGGCGAGCGGCGGACGGGUGAGUAAUGCCUAGGAAUCUGCCUGGUAGUGGGGGAUAACGCUCGGAAACGGACGCUAAUACCGCAUACGUCCUACGGGAGAAAGCAGGGGACCUUCGGGCCUUGCGCUAUCAGAUGAGCCUAGGUCGGAUUAGCUAGUUGGUGAGGUAAUGGCUCACCAGGGCGACGAUCCGUAACUGGUCUGAGAGGAUGAUCAGUCACACUGGAACUGAGACACGGUCCAGACUCCUACGGGAGGCAGCAGUGGGGAAUAUUGGACAAUGGGCGAAAGCCUGAUCCAGCCAUGCCGCGUGUGUGAAGAAGGUCUUCGGAUUGUAAAGCACUUUAAGUUGGGAGGAAGGGCAGUUACCUAAUACGUGAUUGUUUUGACGUUACCGACAGAAUAAGCACCGGCUAACUCUGGGGGCGGGGGGGGGCGGUAAUACAG
This 448-nucleotide ribosomal RNA is filed under the name Pseudomonas sp. RNAcentral's name for it is "bacterial SSU rRNA". It matches the Rfam family "Bacterial small subunit ribosomal RNA", at positions 86 to 528 of the family's 1533-position model. The record is from RNAcentral. Lineage: Bacteria; Pseudomonadati; Pseudomonadota; Gammaproteobacteria; Pseudomonadales; Pseudomonadaceae.